Molecule: non-coding RNA, 2138 nt
Organism: Stegostoma tigrinum
Lineage: Eukaryota; Metazoa; Chordata; Chondrichthyes; Orectolobiformes; Stegostomatidae
Source: the annotation of a RefSeq genome assembly
GGAACAAGUCCUUCACGCCCCGUCCCUUCCUUGCUGCGCUCUGAGAAAUGAGGAAGGAGCUGAGAAGUCCCUUGCUCGCAGUGACACAGUCUGUUGAGCUUCCCAGCACAUCAGAGCCUGGCAAAGGGAGCUGAGGAUGUGUUGGACUUUGCUGCUGAUGGUCUUACAGAUGGAUGCAGUCCUUUCCAACUCCAACCUGAUCAUCCUGCAGGCAGUACAGGAAGCCCGGGAGGGUGACACGGUGAGGCUGGCCUGCAGAAGCAGCCAGCAGCAGGAUCAGCGCUCGCUAACCUGGGGCUACGUGCCAGCGGCCAACUCCACCAUCAAAUGGAUCAUGUCCCUGAGCCCGGGGUCGACUAACUUCACCCGGCUGGCCGGGUUUGAGCCCCGUUUCUCCGGCGCCAAUGGCAGUGAAUUCACUUUAACCAUCGGGCAGCUGAAACGGACCGACUCCAUGAGGUUUUACUGUCAAAGUAAGGACGUUGUGGCGAAGGCGAAGGACUGGUGUGGCUGUGCGGUGACCCUCAACGUGAAACCAGUCAUUCCACCGAGGCCACCUUCCGUUCGCCUCCUCCAGCCAUCGCCCAAGCAAAUUUCCCCGCAGGGGGGCUGCAGACUGGCCUGUGUGGUGAGUGAUUUCUACCCGGACGCCGUCUCCGUGUCUUGGUACAUUGGCAGCGCGCGGCUCUCCUCGGGCAUUUCCAGCUCCGGGAUACUGACGGAGUCGGAAGGGAGUUACACCAUCAUCAGCGAGCUGACGGUGCCAGCGCUUCAGUGGCUACGUGGUCUUCAAUACACCUGCCUAGUUUCACACACAACCCUGCCUUCCCCCAUCAGAAGAGUGAUCAGUAAAGACGGCCCGAUUCUGCCAUCCAUCUACAUGUUCCCUCCAACUUUUGAAGAGAUUGAUGUGAGGAAAACUGCAACAAUUGUGUGUCUGGCUGUUGGAUUUUACCCCAAAAGUAUUUUGUUUAGCUGGCUGGUUAACAACGAUAAAACUGUGUUUAGUUCGAAAACUCUUCCACCAACUUUAAACACAAAUGGGAGUUACACUUCCAGAAGUGAGUUAACAGUCACUGCGGAUGAGUGGGAAUCUGGAUCUUUGUACACUUGCCAAAUUCAACACGUUUCAAUGUCAUCUCCUAUAAGGCACAGUUUGAGGAAAAGAACUGAUGGCUUCAUUCAGAAGCCUGUGAUCCACCUGAUCGCUCCUCUGUCUGACGCUGCCUCUGCAGGACAAAAUGUUACCAUGACUUGCUUGGUGUCAGACUUUUACCCUGCCGAUAUUUCUGUGACUUGGAGAGAUGAGAAUGGCCCAGUGGAUAUGGGAGUGACCCAGUUUGCGGUAGUUUUGGGCAGUGCCAGCGCUUACCGAACAGUGACCCAGUUGACCGUGCCGACAGCAGAAUGGGAGAGUAACCGCACCUACUGCUGUGAAGUGAAACAUGUGUCCCUGGGACAGGCACUGCAGAGAGCUGUCACUAAGGAUCUGGGGAUAUCCAGUGGAUCCCCAAGGAUAAUGGUUCCUCUGUGCAUUGUGGCUGCUGUUAGUGGUUUGCUUUUAAUUAUCACUGCUGUUACAAUGAUCUGCAAGAAAGCCAUUUCUUCGUCUGGCACUGAGACUGCAAAUUUCAGUGAGAUGCUGAGCCUGAACACCAGACAGGAAUCCUUCUACGAAAACGUCUAUCAUAAGACCUCCAAGGAAGAAGCAUCAAGAAACACUGUCUGAGCAGAGUUUUGACAGAUGAGGAACAGACAGAAAGAGACAUCUUGAAACGUAUAAUGGACUGCUAUCAACUGAUUGAACAGUUAAAAGUGCCACACCUUCAGGGCCAGAAGCCAGGAGUCUCACGUCUCCCAAAACCUGUUGUCUUGCUUGUCCAACUUCACAGCAAAUCAUCAACUAUCGAACUACAGAAGAUAUCACAGCUACUGGAUCUGACUUCAAGUGUCAAUCUCUUCACUUCAGCACCAAUGAACUGAAGCAACGGAACCCAAAGAAUCAGCAGUGGGACUCAUCUUUUGUCUUGGGUGUAUUUAUUUAAUUCUUGAUGUUUCUAAGUUCUUCUUAAUAACUUUCUUUAUUCAUAAGGAAAUGUCACAUGCAAUAAACUAACCUUUAACUUGUUUAAGAAAAA